Molecule: ribosomal RNA, 497 nt
Filed under: uncultured bacterium
Lineage: Bacteria
Description: partial 16S ribosomal RNA
Rfam family: Bacterial small subunit ribosomal RNA
Source: RNAcentral
GAUGAACGCUGGCGGCGUGCCUAAUACAUGCAAGUCGAGCGAACAGAUAAGGAGCUUGCUCCUUUGACGUUAGCGGCGGACGGGUGAGUAACACGUGGGUAACCUACCUAUAAGACUGGAAUAACUCCGGGAAACCGGGGCUAAUGCCGGAUAACAUUUAGAACCGCAUGGUUCUAAAGUGAAAGAUGGUUUUGCUAUCACUUAUAGAUGGACCCGCGCCGUAUUAGCUAGUUGGUAAGGUAACGGCUUACCAAGGCAACGAUACGUAGCCGACCUGAGAGGGUGGUCGGCCACACUGGAAGUGAGACACGGUCCAGACUCCUAAGGGAGGCAGCAGUAGGGAAUCUUCCGGAAUGGGCGAAAGCCUGACGGAGCAACGCCGCGUGAGGGAUGAAGGUCUUCGGAUCGUAAAACUCUGUUAUUAGGGAAGAACAAAUGUGUAAGUAACUGUGCACGUCUUGACGGUACCUAAUCAGAAAGCCACGGCUAACUACGUG